UACCAGCUCUCCGAGUGGUAGGGAUGAUUAUUGGGCUUAAAGCGUCCGUAGCCGGCUUGGCAAGUUUCCUGUUAAACUCUGCGACUUAAUCGUUGAAUCGCGGGAAAUACUACUAGGCUAGGAGGCGGGAGAGGUCAACGGUACUUCUGGGGUAGGGGUGAAAUCCUAUAAUCCCGGGAGGACCACCAGUGGCGAAGGCUGUUGACUAGAACGCGCUCGACGGUGAGGGACGAAAGCUGGGGGAGCGAACCGGAUUAGAUACCCGGGUAGUCCCAGCUGUAAACGAUGCGGGCUAGGUGUUGGGAUGGCUACGUGCCAUUUCAGUGCCGCAGGGAAGCCAUAAGCCCGCCGCCUGGGGAGUACGGCCGCAAGGCUGAAACUUAAAGGAAUUGGCGGGGGAGCACCACAAGGCGUGAAGCUUGCGGUUC
RNAcentral lists this ribosomal RNA (428 nucleotides) under uncultured archaeon. RNAcentral describes it as "bacterial SSU rRNA". It matches the Rfam family "Archaeal small subunit ribosomal RNA", at positions 474 to 903 of the family's 1478-position model. The record is from RNAcentral.